RNAcentral lists this ribosomal RNA (290 nucleotides) under Streptococcus agalactiae. Its description in RNAcentral is "partial 23S ribosomal RNA". It matches the Rfam family "Bacterial large subunit ribosomal RNA", at positions 2639 to 2925 of the family's 2925-position model. Lineage: Bacteria; Bacillati; Bacillota; Bacilli; Lactobacillales; Streptococcaceae. The record is from RNAcentral.
UAUCCGUCGCGGGCGUAGGAAAUUUGAGAGGAUCUGCUCCUAGUACGAGAGGACCAGAGUGGACUUACCGCUGGUGUACCAGUUGUCUUGCCAAAGGCAUCGCUGGGUAGCUAUGUAGGGAAGGGAUAAGCGCUGAAAGCAUCUAAGUGCGAAGCCCACCUCAAGAUGAGAUUUCCCAUGAUUUUAUAUCAGUAAGAGCCCUGAGAGAUGAUCAGGUAGAUAGGUUAGGAGUGUAAUUGUGGUGACACAUUUAGCGGACUAAUACUAAUAGCUCGAGGACUUAUCCAAAA